This 500-nucleotide long non-coding RNA is filed under the name Helianthus annuus (common sunflower). Lineage: Eukaryota; Viridiplantae; Streptophyta; Magnoliopsida; Asterales; Asteraceae. The record is from RNAcentral.
GUUUAUAUAUUCAGCAUCAGAGGUUAUAUGCUGCAGAAUUUGUGACGAAGCAGAGUUCGAAAGCUGUAAAUCAUGAGAAACUCCAUGUUCAUGUUCAGGAACCGUAAAGGUUUGGUGCUCCUGCCAUGGGAAAAGUUGUUUUUUUGAUACAUGUUAUGCAUUUAUCGUCUGCUAAAAGGAAAAUUCAAAUUUCUCAUGACAACUACAACUAAAAGCUUGGCGGUAAUGAUGUGAAACAUUUAAUGGAGUGGGUUGUACUUGUUGGAACUAGACCAAAGGCGAGUCCUAUGAAUGAGUGGCGGCCACCAUGGCGCUUAACUACGAUUUCUCCGAACGUCACCAAACGAACCGAGUGGCGUCCACCGUGGGACGUUCGUUCGUGUUUAUCCCGAUUUUCACCUUGAGGACAAGGUGAAUUCGAGCGGGGUGGAAUGAUACGUACCCGCAAUGUUAUACAUGGAUCUCAUUCAUAUAACUCCAUGUGACUAGCACAUGUUAUU